GGAUCCAGACUUUGAUUCUGGCUCAGGACGAACGCUGGCGGCGCGCCUAACACAUGCAAGUCGAACGGAGCUGAGAGGAGCUUGCUUUUCUUAGCUUAGUGGCGAACGGGUGAGUAACGCGUGAGUAACCUGCCCUGGAGUGGGGGACAACAGUUGGAAACGACUGCUAAUACCGCAUAAGCCCACGGUGCUGCAUGGCACUGCGGAAAAAGGAUUUAUUCGCUUCAGGAUGGACUCGCGUCCAAUUAGCUAGUUGGUGAGGUAACGGCCCACCAAGGCGACGAUUGGUAGCCGGACUGAGAGGUUGAACGGCCACAUUGGGACUGAGACACGGCCCAGACUCCUACGGGAGGCAGCAGUGGGGGAUAUUGCACAAUGGGGGAAACCCUGAUGCAGCGACGCCGCGUGGAGGAAGAAGGUUUUCGGAUUGUAAACUCCUGUCGUUAGGGACGAUAGUGACGGUACCUAACAAGAAAGCACCGGCUAACUACGUGCCAGCAGCCGCGGUAAAACGUAGGGUGCAAGCGUUGUCCGGAAUUACUGGGUGUAAAGGGAGCGCAGGCGGACCGGCAAGUUGGAAGUGAAAUCCAUGGGCUCAACCCGUGAAUUGCUUUCAAAACUGCUGGCCUUGAGUAGUGCAGAGGUAGGUGGAAUUCCCGGUGUAGCGGUGGAAUGCGUAGAUAUCGGGAGGAACACCAGUGGCGAGGGCGACCUACUGGGCACCAACUGACGCUGAGGCUCGAAAGCAUGGGUAGCAAACAGGAUUAGAUACCCUGGUAGUCCAUGCCGUAAACGAUGAUUACUAGGUGUUGGAGGAUUGACCCCUUCAGUGCCGCAGUUAACACAAUAAGUAAUCCACCUGGGGAGUACGACCGCAAGGUUGCAACUCAAAGGAAUUGACGG
RNAcentral lists this ribosomal RNA (903 nucleotides) under uncultured bacterium. RNAcentral's name for it is "bacterial SSU rRNA". It matches the Rfam family "Bacterial small subunit ribosomal RNA", at positions 1 to 916 of the family's 1533-position model. RNAcentral also lists the same sequence under 1 other name. The record is from RNAcentral.